This 303-nucleotide long non-coding RNA is filed under the name Nicotiana benthamiana. RNAcentral's name for it is "long non-coding RNA (NBEN_LNC038731)". Lineage: Eukaryota; Viridiplantae; Streptophyta; Magnoliopsida; Solanales; Solanaceae. The record is from RNAcentral.
ACUGUUUCUAUAAUUAUGUACCUAUUACUCCAUUCUCUAUUGGUUUUCAAAAACUAUAAGUACUCCUCUUCUCUUCUCACUUAGGACACGAACAAAAUUCUCUCUGAACUCUCUUUCAUACAGAAUAUUCAGUGCUCUCUCUUUGUUUCCACACAAUCUUUCUCACUUCUCUUGUGACUACUGGUUGCUCCACUUGUUUGAAAUUCAGACUGAGUUUUAGACUAUUUCACUGUUCCGUUGCACUCUAUAUUGCGGCUCAAUAACUCUAUAUUGCGGCUCACUUCUAUUGCUGCACACUUCUAC